CUCGAGGGAUUGCCAGUUUCUUCUAUUUCAUCCGG
Molecule: small RNA, 35 nt
Filed under: Arabidopsis thaliana (thale cress)
Lineage: Eukaryota; Viridiplantae; Streptophyta; Magnoliopsida; Brassicales; Brassicaceae
Description: ATSL176200
Source: RNAcentral